Molecule: transfer RNA, 87 nt
Filed under: Leeuwenhoekiella palythoae
Lineage: Bacteria; Pseudomonadati; Bacteroidota; Flavobacteriia; Flavobacteriales; Flavobacteriaceae
Description: tRNA_Phe_GAA
Rfam family: tRNA
About the family: Transfer RNA (tRNA) molecules are approximately 80 nucleotides in length. Their secondary structure includes four short double-helical elements and three loops (D, anti-codon, and T loops). Further hydrogen bonds mediate the characteristic L-shaped molecular structure. tRNAs have two regions of fundamental functional importance: the anti-codon, which is responsible for specific mRNA codon recognition, and the 3' end, to which the tRNAs corresponding amino acid is attached (by aminoacyl-tRNA synthetases). tRNAs cope with the degeneracy of the genetic code in two manners: having more than one tRNA (with a specific anti-codon) for a particular amino acid; and 'wobble' base-pairing, i.e. permitting non-standard base-pairing at the 3rd anti-codon position.
Source: RNAcentral
AUAUAGACGGCUGAGUGGUUUAAGGCACCUGACUGAAUAUCAGACGUACGGGGAACUGUACCGGGAGUUCGAAUCUCCCUCUAUCCG